GGGGCUAUAGCUCAGCUGGGAGAGCGCUUGAAUGGCAUUCAAGAGGUCGUCGGUUCGAUCCCGUCUAGCUCCACUA
RNAcentral lists this transfer RNA (76 nucleotides) under Ignavibacteriota bacterium. RNAcentral's name for it is "Ignavibacteriae bacterium tRNA-Ala". It matches the Rfam family "tRNA". Rfam says of the family: Transfer RNA (tRNA) molecules are approximately 80 nucleotides in length. Their secondary structure includes four short double-helical elements and three loops (D, anti-codon, and T loops). Lineage: Bacteria; Pseudomonadati; Ignavibacteriota. The record is from RNAcentral.